AUUCCAGCUCCAAUAGCGUAUAUUAAAGUUGUUGCAGUUAAAAAGCUCGUAGUUGAAUUUCUGGUGGGAGUGUACAGUCCGACACUGAGUGUUGGUUCUUGUGUGUCUCCGGCCAUCCUUGGAGUGAAUCUGUCUGGCAUUUAGUUGUUGGGCAGAGUAUCUCCAUCGUUUACUGUGAGGAAAGGAAAGUGUUCAAAGCAGGCUUACGCCGUUGAAUCUUUUAGCAUGGAAUAAUAAGAUAGAAUCUUGAUACUAUUUUGUUGGUUUUCAGGGUCUAAGUAAUGAUUGAUAGGGAUAGUUGGGGGUGCUAGUAUUUUGCGGCCUGAGGUGAAAUUCUGUGAUUCGCGAAAGACUAACUUAUGCGAAAGCAUUCACCAAGGAUGUCUUCAUCA
Molecule: ribosomal RNA, 392 nt
Filed under: Eucampia sp.
Lineage: Eukaryota; Bacillariophyta; Thalassiosirophyceae; Eucampiales; Eucampiaceae
Description: partial small subunit ribosomal RNA
Rfam family: Eukaryotic small subunit ribosomal RNA
Source: RNAcentral